CUUAGUGGCGGACGGGUGAGUAACACGUGAGCAACCUGCCUUUCAGAGGGGGGUAACGUUUGGAAACGAACGCUAAUACCGCAUAACAUCAUAUUAGGGCAUCCUGAAAUGAUCAAAGGAGCAAUCCGCUGAGAGAUGGGCUCGCGCCUGAUUAGAUAGUUGGUAGGGUAACGGCCUACCAAGUCGACGAUCAGUAGCCGGACUGAGAGGUUGAUCGGCCACAUUGGGACUGAGACACGGCCCAGACUCCUACGGGAGGCAGCAGUGGGGGAUAUUGCACAAUGGGGGGAACCCUGAUGCAGCGACGCCGCGUGAGGGAAGAAGGUUUUCGGAUUGUAAACCUCUGUCUUUAGUGACGAUAAUGACGGUAGCUAAAGAGGAAGCCACGGCUAACUACGUGCCAGCAGCCGCGGUAAUACGUAGGUGGCGAGCGUUGUCCGGAAUUACUGGGUGUAAAGGGAGCGUAGGCGGGAAGACAAGUUGAAUGUUUAAACUAUCGGCUUAACCGGUAGUCGCGUUCAAAACUGUUUUUCUUGAGUGAAGUAGAGGCAGGCGGAAUUCCUAGUGUAGCGGUGAAAUGCGUAGAUAUUAGGAGGAACACCAGUGGCGAAGGCGGACUGCUGGGCUUUAACUGACGCUGAGGCUCGAAAGCGUGGGUAGCAAACAGGAUUAGAUACCCUGGUAGUCCACGCCGUAAACGAUGAUUACUAGGUGUGGGGGAGACUGACCCCUUCCGUGCCGGGAG
Molecule: ribosomal RNA, 745 nt
Filed under: uncultured Oscillospiraceae bacterium
Lineage: Bacteria; Bacillati; Bacillota; Clostridia; Eubacteriales; Oscillospiraceae
Description: bacterial SSU rRNA
Rfam family: Bacterial small subunit ribosomal RNA
Source: RNAcentral